This 459-nucleotide ribosomal RNA is filed under the name uncultured bacterium. Its description in RNAcentral is "partial 16S ribosomal RNA". It matches the Rfam family "Bacterial small subunit ribosomal RNA", at positions 338 to 795 of the family's 1533-position model. The record is from RNAcentral.
CCUACGGGGGGCAGCAGUGAGGAAUAUUGGUCAAUGGACGAGAGUCUGAACCAGCCAAGUAGCGUGAAGGAUGACUGCCCUAUGGGUUGUAAACUUCUUUUAUAUGGGAAUAAAACGUUCCACGUGUGGGAUUUUGUAUGUACCAUAUGAAUAAGGAUCGGCAAACUCCGGGCCAGGAGCCGCGGUAAUACGGAAGGCCCGAGCGUUAUCCGGAUUCAUUGGGCUUAAAGGGGGCGUAGGCGGGCGUUCAAGUCAGCUGUAAAAUCGCGCGGCUCAACCGCGCCCCGCAGUUGAAACUGGGCUCCUUGAGUUCACAACAGGCAGGCGGAAUGCGUGGUGUAGCGGUGAAAUGCAUAGAUAUCACGAGGAACCCCGAUUGCGAAGGCAGCCUGCCGGGGUGCGACUGACGCUGAGGCUCGAAGGUGCGGGUAUCAAACAGGAUUAGAUACCCUUGUAGUC